GCAGUAGACGCUGAGACUUUAGCUUGCUAAAGUUGGAAGAGUUGCGAACGGGUGAGUAACGCGUAGGUAACCUGCCUACUAGCGGGGGAUAACUAUUGGAAACGAUAGCUAAUACCGCAUAACAGCAUUUAACACAUGUUAGAUGCUUGAAAGGAGCAAUUGCUUCACUAGUAGAUGGACCUGCGUUGUAUUAGCUAGUUGGUGAGGUAACGGCUCACCAAGGCGACGAUACAUAGCCGACCUGAGAGGGUGAUCGGCCACACUGGGACUGAGACACGGCCCAGACUCCUACGGGAGGCAGCAGUAGGGAAUCUUCGGCAAUGGGGGCAACCCUGACCGAGCAACGCCGCGUGAGUGAAGAAGGUUUUCGGAUCGUAAAGCUCUGUUGUAAGAGAAGAACGUGUGUGAGAGUGGAAAG
RNAcentral lists this ribosomal RNA (418 nucleotides) under Streptococcus lutetiensis. RNAcentral describes it as "bacterial SSU rRNA". It matches the Rfam family "Bacterial small subunit ribosomal RNA", at positions 57 to 464 of the family's 1533-position model. The record is from RNAcentral. Lineage: Bacteria; Bacillati; Bacillota; Bacilli; Lactobacillales; Streptococcaceae.